Molecule: ribosomal RNA, 479 nt
Filed under: uncultured bacterium
Lineage: Bacteria
Description: partial 16S ribosomal RNA
Rfam family: Bacterial small subunit ribosomal RNA
Source: RNAcentral
GAUGAACGCUGGCGGCGUGCUUAACACAUGCAAGUCGAACGAAGCACCUUGAUUCGAUUCUUCGGAUGAAGAUCUUGGUGACUGAGUGGCGGACGGGUGAGUAACGCGUGGGUAACCUGCCUCAUACAGGGGGAUAACAGUUAGAAAUGACUGCUAAUACCGCAUAAGACCACAGCACCGCAUGGUGCAGGGGUAAAAACUCCGGUGGUAUGAGAUGGACCCGCGUCUGAUUAGGUAGUUGGUGGGGUAACGGCCUACCAAGCCGACGAUCAGUAGCCGACCUGAGAGGGUGACCGGCCACAUUGGGACUGAGACACGGCCCAAGCUCCUACGGGAGGCAGCAGUGGGGAAUAUUGCACAAUGGGGGAAACCCUGAUGCAGCGACGCCGCGUGAGCGAUGAAGUAUUUCGGUAUGUAAAGCUCUAUCAGCAGGGAAGAAAAUGACGGUACCUGACUAAGAAGCACCGGCUAAAUACGUG